UUUUUCCCUGCGUAGGGGAACUACGUCGCCUUGAUCCUCAUACCAGAUGAGGUACGUAGGCAGAAGAUGAGCUGAUCUCUCCGGGCGCCCUUUUUCUUUUUCAACCCUUUGUGUCUUAACCACCCUUGCGUGUGUUUUGGUUCGGAUGCUGAUGUAAGUCCAGUGAUUGGCAUUCGGGCUCCACGUUCGCCCUUUUGUUUUGUUUGUGUGAGUUGUUUCUCCU
This 223-nucleotide long non-coding RNA is filed under the name Lathyrus oleraceus (garden pea). Its description in RNAcentral is "Pisum sativum (pea) long non-coding RNA (PSAT_LNC006969)". The record is from RNAcentral. Lineage: Eukaryota; Viridiplantae; Streptophyta; Magnoliopsida; Fabales; Fabaceae.